AAGCGCGCGUAGGUGGUUUGUUAAGUUGGAUGUGAAAUCCCCGGGCUCAACCUGGGAACUGCAUUCAAAACUGACUGACUAGAGUAUGGUAGAGGGGUGGUGGAAUUUCCUGUGUAGCGGUGAAAUGCGUAGAUAUAGGAAGGAACACCAGUGGCGAAGGCGACCACCUGGACUGAUACUGACACUGAGGUGCGAAAGCGUGGGGAGCAAACAGGAUUAGAUACCCGGGU
This 230-nucleotide ribosomal RNA is filed under the name uncultured bacterium. Its description in RNAcentral is "partial 16S ribosomal RNA". It matches the Rfam family "Bacterial small subunit ribosomal RNA", at positions 563 to 791 of the family's 1533-position model. The record is from RNAcentral.